RNAcentral lists this unclassified non-coding RNA (145 nucleotides) under uncultured Mycoarthris. Its description in RNAcentral is "sequence contains ITS2". The record is from RNAcentral. Lineage: Eukaryota; Fungi; Ascomycota; Leotiomycetes; Helotiales.
UAACCCCUCAAGCUCAGCUUGGUGUUGGGGCCUGCCUACUGGCAGCCCUUAAAAUCAGUGGCGGCGCCAUCUGGCUCUAAGCGUAGUAAUUUCUCUCGCUAUAGGGUUCCGAUGGACGCUGGCCAGCAACCCCCAAUUUUUUAAU